UACGUAGGGCGCAAGCGUUGUCCGGAAUUAUUGGGCGUAAAGAGCUCGUAGGCGGUCCGUCACGUCUGCCGUGAAAACCCGAGGCUUAACCUCGGGCCUGCGGUGGAUACGGGCGAGCUAGAGGUAGGUAGGGGAGAACGGAAUUCCCGGUGUAGCGGUGAAAUGCGCAGAUAUCGGGAGGAACACCGGUGGCGAAGGCGGUUCUCUGGGCCUUACCUGACGCUGAGGAGCGAAAGCGUGGGGAGCAAACAGG
Molecule: ribosomal RNA, 253 nt
Filed under: uncultured bacterium
Lineage: Bacteria
Description: partial 16S ribosomal RNA
Rfam family: Bacterial small subunit ribosomal RNA
Source: RNAcentral